RNAcentral lists this ribosomal RNA (642 nucleotides) under Pseudoctomeris sulcata. RNAcentral's name for it is "partial 16S ribosomal RNA". The stretch from base 419 to 573 matches the Rfam family "Archaeal large subunit ribosomal RNA", at positions 1883 to 2090 of the family's 2987-position model. Lineage: Eukaryota; Metazoa; Arthropoda; Thecostraca; Balanomorpha; Chthamalidae. The record is from RNAcentral.
UAUUUCGAAAAUAAAAGAUUUAAGGAUUCUUUUUAGUUUUUGUUUCAGUGAAAUUAAUGAAGAUUUCUUAGGGGUGAGAUACUAAUCGAUUUUAUUAAUAUCUAAUAACUUCGGAAAUAAAUUUAGUUUAGAAUGUGGAGAGGUUGUCAUCUCAAAAAUGUUUUUAGAUUUUAGGGGAUGAGCUCUAAGAUUAAAUUAUAAGGAUAAAUAAUUUUGUUUUUCGAAUAAGCUUAGAAUUAGCUAUAAGAUAGUGUUAUAAAAUAAAAGUUUAAGUAUAAGAUUUAUGUUCCUUUGGAUUUUAAGAAGUUAUUUUGUAAAUAAAUUUUAUUUAGAAAAUAUGGUAGUAUUAGUAGAGAUAAUUUUGAAUUUCCCCAAUUUUUAUGUAUUUUUGAGUAUAGUAGAAGAAUUCGGCAAAUAAGAUUUCCGAAUGUUUAACAAAAACAUUUCCUCCUGGCUGAGGAGGUAAGCCUGCUCACUGAAUUUUUAAAGAGCCGCAGUAUUCUGACUGUGCUAAAGUAGCAUAAUCAUUAGUCUUUUAAUUGGGGACUGGUAUGAAUGGCUAAACGAGAGAUCAGCUUUUUUUAUUAUACGUAAAUUGAAUUUAACUUUUUAGUGAAAAGGCUAAAAUUCACCAGAAAGACG